RNAcentral lists this ribosomal RNA (245 nucleotides) under uncultured Methanobacterium sp. RNAcentral's name for it is "partial 16S ribosomal RNA". It matches the Rfam family "Archaeal small subunit ribosomal RNA", at positions 474 to 718 of the family's 1478-position model. The record is from RNAcentral. Lineage: Archaea; Methanobacteriati; Methanobacteriota; Methanobacteria; Methanobacteriales; Methanobacteriaceae.
CACCGGCAGCUCAAGUGGUGGCCAUUUUUAUUGGGCCUAAAGCGUUCGUAGCCGACUUGAUAAGUCUUUGGUGAAAUCCCAUAGCUUAACUGUGGGAAUUGCUGGAGAUACUGUUAGGCUUGAGGCCGGGAGAGGUUAGGGGUACUCCCAGGGUAGGGGUGGAAUCCUAUAAUCCUGGGAGGACCACCUGUGGCGAAGGCGCCUAACUGGAACGGACCUGACGGUGAGUAACGAAAGCCAGGGGC